This 253-nucleotide ribosomal RNA is filed under the name uncultured bacterium. RNAcentral's name for it is "partial 16S ribosomal RNA". It matches the Rfam family "Bacterial small subunit ribosomal RNA", at positions 524 to 776 of the family's 1533-position model. The record is from RNAcentral.
UACGAAGGGGACUAGCGUUGUUCGGAAUCACUGGGCGUAAAGCGCACGUAGGCGGAUUCGUAAGUCAGGGGUGAAAUCCCGGGGCUCAACCUCGGAACUGCCUUUGAUACUGCGGGUCUUGAGUCCGAUAGAGGUGGGUGGAAUUCCUAGUGUAGAGGUGAAAUUCGUAGAUAUCGAGAGGAACACCGGUGGCGAAGGCGGCGAUCUGGACGAUGACUGACGCUGAGACGCGAAAGCGUGGGGAGCAAACAGG